UAGGGAAUCUUCCACAAUGGACGCAAGUCUGAUGGAGCAACGCCGCGUGAGUGAAGAAGGUUUUCGGAUCGUAAAGCUCUGUUGUUGGUGAAGAAGGAUAGAGGCAGUAACUGGUCUUUAUUUGACGGUAAUCAACCAGAAAGUCACGGCUAACUACGUGCCAGCAGCCGCGGUAAUACGUAGGUGGCAAGCGGUGUCCGGGUUUAUUGGGCGUAAAGCGAGCGCAGGCGGAAUGAUAAGUCUGAUGUGAAAGCCCACGGCUCAACCCUGGAACUGCAUCGUAAACUGUCAUUCGUGAGUGCAGCAGAGGAGAGUGGGGUUCCAUGUGUAGCGGUGGGAUGCGUAGAUAUAUGGAAGAACACCAGUGGCGGAGGCGGCUCUCUGGUCUGCAACUGACGCUGAGGCUCGACAGCAUGGGUAGCGAACAGG
Molecule: ribosomal RNA, 429 nt
Filed under: bacterium
Lineage: Bacteria
Description: partial 16S ribosomal RNA
Rfam family: Bacterial small subunit ribosomal RNA
Source: RNAcentral